UCCCUGGUGGUCUAGUGGUUAGGAUUCUGUGCUUUAAACGCUGCAGCCUGGGUUCAAUCCCUGGUCUGGGAA
This 72-nucleotide transfer RNA is filed under the name Sus scrofa (pig). It matches the Rfam family "tRNA". Rfam says of the family: Transfer RNA (tRNA) molecules are approximately 80 nucleotides in length. Lineage: Eukaryota; Metazoa; Chordata; Mammalia; Artiodactyla; Suidae. The record is from Rfam by way of RNAcentral.